Long non-coding RNA from Prionailurus viverrinus (fishing cat), 581 nucleotides. RefSeq lists it as uncharacterized. The record is from RefSeq and is a predicted model, not a curated record. The transcript is spliced from 4 exons. Lineage: Eukaryota; Metazoa; Chordata; Mammalia; Carnivora; Felidae.
GGUACCUGGAAACCUCGGGCCCGGGAGCCAAUUCCUGCCGGGGACUUGGGCCCGGGCGGCCGCGGGAAAGCCAAGGAUACUGCAUUAUAUUUAGUGUUCAUGUCUCCUUAGGCUCCUCUUGGCCAUGAUAUUUCUCAUACUUUCCCGGUUUUUGCUGGCCCCCAUGGUUUUGAGGAAUAACUGAGACAUGUCUAAUAAGAUGAUGCUACGGCCGAUGUCACAAAGAUUGCUGCCUGUGUUCUUCUCUAGGACCAGAAGAGGAAGAGACACCAGGAGUAUGCAUGCACACAGACAAAAGACCAUGCAAGGACACAAAGAAGGCAGCUAUCUGAAAGCCAAGGAGCGAGGUCUUCCCAGAAACUGAUCCUGCCGGGGCUGAUCUUGGAUUUCCGGUCUCCAGAACUGUGAGAAAAUAAUCUUCUGUUGUGUAAGCCACCCUGCCUGUGGUAUUUUGUUAUGGCAGCCUGAGCAGAUGACUACAGCAUCUGUUGGCAUUCUUGUUGUUUUUUUUUUUUAAUUACUGUAAUGUUACAGGGUCACUGCUUGUACCUGUUCUGUCUCACAAGUGUGCGCAGUUAAGA